Molecule: ribosomal RNA, 465 nt
Filed under: uncultured bacterium
Lineage: Bacteria
Description: partial 16S ribosomal RNA
Rfam family: Bacterial small subunit ribosomal RNA
Source: RNAcentral
GACGAACGCUGGCGGCGUGCUUAACACAUGCAAGUCGAACGGAAAGGCCCUGCUUGCAGGGUACUCGAGUGGCGAACGGGUGAGUAACACGUGGGUGAUCUGCCCUGCACUUCGGGAUAAGCCUGGGAAACUGGGUCUAAUACCGGAUAGGAGCCAUUUUUAGUGUGAUGGUUGGAAAGUUUUUUCGGUGUAGGAUGAGCUCGCGGCCUAUCAGCUUGUUGGUGGGGUAAUGGCCUACCAAGGCGGCGACGGGUAGCCGGCCUGAGAGGGUGGACGGCCACAUUGGGACUGAGAGACGGCCCAGACUCCUACGGGGGGCAGCAGUGGGGAAUAUUGCACAAGGGGCGCAAGCCUGAUGCAGCGACGCCGCGUGGGGGAUGACGGCCUUCGGGUUGAAAACUCCUUUCGCUAGGGACGAAGCUUUUUGUGACGGUACCUAGAUAAGAAGCACCGGCUAACUACGUG